RNAcentral lists this ribosomal RNA (602 nucleotides) under Enterococcus gallinarum. RNAcentral describes it as "bacterial SSU rRNA". It matches the Rfam family "Bacterial small subunit ribosomal RNA", at positions 455 to 1050 of the family's 1533-position model. Lineage: Bacteria; Bacillati; Bacillota; Bacilli; Lactobacillales; Enterococcaceae. The record is from RNAcentral.
AAAAUCUUCUUCCCUUGGCGGUUUUUAACCAGAAAGCCAGGGGUAAAUUACCUGCCAGCAGCCGCGGUAAUACGUAGGUGGCAAGCGUUUUCCGGAUUUUAUUGGGGGUUAAAGCGAGCGCCGGCGGUUUUUUUAAGUUUGAAGGGAAAGCCCCCGGCUCAACCGGGGAGGGUCAUUGGAAAACUGGGAGACUUGAGUGCAGAAGAGGAGAGUGGAAUUCCAUGGGUAGCGGUGAAAUGCGUAGAUAUAUGGAGGAACACCAGUGGGGAAGGGGGCUCUUUGGUCUGUAACUGACGCUGAGGCUCGAAAGCGUGGGGAGCGAACAGGAUUAGAUACCCUGGUAGUCCACGCCGUAAACGAUGAGUGCUAAGUGUUGGAGGGUUUCCGCCCUUCAGUGGUGCAGCAAACGCAUUAAGCACUCCGCCUGGGGAGUAGGACCGCAAGGUUGAAACUCAAAGGAAUUGACGGGGGCCCGCACAAGCGGUGGAGCAUGUGGUUUAAUUUGAAGCAACGGGAAGAACCUUACCAGGUCUUGACAUCCUUUGACCACUCUAGAGAUAGAGUUUCCCCUUCGGGGGCAAAGUGACAGGUGGUGCAUGGUU